AGCAGAUUAAUGAUUCUUGAGCGGUCUGAGUUAGUCACAUGUCAGCCGAGUAUUUGCUUAGUCAGUCUCUACACGGAUUUGACUGACUUGGCAAAAUCACAAUGGCGGUGCGUCGAAAAAUUGGAUGAGUAGUUGGCUAAGAUUGCAGCCAUGUAUCAGAAUCUUCGAAGAUGGUAGGAUUUUUUAUGUUGAUCAUAGUCAUCAGGCGUAUCUAUAAAUAGG
Molecule: long non-coding RNA, 222 nt
Filed under: Elaeis guineensis (African oil palm)
Lineage: Eukaryota; Viridiplantae; Streptophyta; Magnoliopsida; Arecales; Arecaceae
Description: long non-coding RNA (EGUI_LNC040931)
Source: RNAcentral